ACGAACGCUGGCGGCGUGCCUAAUACAUGCAAGUAGAACGCUGAAGGAGGAGCUUGCUUCUCUGGAUGAGUUGCGAACGGGUGAGUAACGCGUAGGUAACCUGCCUGGUAGCGGGGGAUAACUAUUAGAAACGAUAGCUAAUACCGCAUAAGAGUAGAUGUCGCAUGACAUUUGCUUAAAAGGUGCAAUUGCAUCACUACCAGAUGGACCUGCGUUGUAUUAGCUAGUUGGUGAGGUAACGGCUCACCAAGGCAACGAUACAUAGUCGACCUGAGAGGGUGAUCGGCCACACUGGGACUGAGACACGGCCCAGACUCCUACGGGAGGCAGCAGUAGGGAAUCUUCGGCAAUGGACGGAAGUCUGACCGAGCAACGCCGCGUGAGUGAAGAAGGUUUUCGGAUCGUAAAGCUCUGUUGUAAGAGAAGAACGAGUGUGAGAGUGGAAAGUUCACACUGUGACGGUAUCUUACCAGAAAGGGACGGCUAACUACGUG
RNAcentral lists this ribosomal RNA (494 nucleotides) under uncultured bacterium. RNAcentral describes it as "partial 16S ribosomal RNA". It matches the Rfam family "Bacterial small subunit ribosomal RNA", at positions 29 to 507 of the family's 1533-position model. The record is from RNAcentral.